Molecule: long non-coding RNA, 242 nt
Organism: Danio aesculapii
Lineage: Eukaryota; Metazoa; Chordata; Actinopteri; Cypriniformes; Danionidae
Exons: 3
Source: RefSeq, a predicted model, not a curated record
CUUCCAGUUAUCUUUUCUCCAUUGCUAAACUGGAUUGCUCAGGACAGGUAUUUUAUACCCACACACCAAAGAAACUUUUUGAAGUUUGGGGAGAUGCAUCACUGCGGACCCUCUCGUAUUGCAAAAAAAGAAGAGAGCCUUGGAUCUACCAGUUCAAGCAAACAUUUCAUCUGACAGCCUUGGAGAUCCCACUUUGGAGAUGUCACUUUAACAACUCAGCCAGCUUUCAUUUCUUCACUGCC